GCUAGACCCAAUAUCUGAAGGUGGCAAAGACAAAGACCAGCAUUGCUUAACAAGCAAUGGUAUCAUUCGCUCAAGAUGAAUGCAGGAUGAGAUGCCCCUAGAUUUCUUGAAAUUCUGAUAAUGUCGAGGAGAUGGAACAUUGAAGAAAGAACUAGAAUGCGUAGAAGGUGAAAUGCCAAGUAAUUGCUCCCCAAAAUUCAGUAUGCCUUUAAGCUUCAUUCCUGGUAUGCAGAUUAGCAUUCGCAUGUAGACCCUUGCAUUGUCUCGAACCUCCAAAUCAGGGAAGUAUAGACAAGUGAAUGCAAGAAGGCGAGAUAAUCCAAGGAACAAUCUAGAGCUAUGAUGGUGCAUCAGCAUAGUUCGGCAAAUGCCAAGGACUUUACUUCCCUGCGACCACGAUUUCAGUCCAGUAUUGGGACCAUGUUUCUCAACAAGGAAAACCAUAAACUUGGUAAGUAGGUCUAGCAAUGUCGAAGGAGGUAUUGAAUUAUUUUCUGCUAUUCUAUCAAAUACUGGGAAGUAAGAAACCAAUUGGUAAUCUAUUUUGACUUUUGGAAGCAAAUACUUGUCAACCGACUGAAGUAGGCGCUCUCCCAACCAACAAUGCUUUUGGCAGCUUAAUAAACGGUCAAUGAAAGAAACAACAACAGGGACCAACCUUAGAAUAUCCAAUGUCAAACCCACCAGCAUCCCCUGCAGUGUAUGGAAGAUAACGGAGUUCAUCAGGGUUCUAGUUGGGGAAGGAUCAGUGUCAGAAUGAGAUGAAGCACCUAUCAAAAAUUUAUGAAAGGCACGGAAUGCAACAGCAGUUUCAGUGCUCCAGGGAG
This 827-nucleotide unclassified non-coding RNA is filed under the name Hevea brasiliensis (rubber tree). The record is from RNAcentral. Lineage: Eukaryota; Viridiplantae; Streptophyta; Magnoliopsida; Malpighiales; Euphorbiaceae.